Molecule: ribosomal RNA, 1998 nt
Filed under: human gut metagenome
Description: bacterial LSU rRNA
Rfam family: Bacterial large subunit ribosomal RNA
Source: RNAcentral
GCUAAAUACUCCCGAGAGACCGAUAGUGAACCAGUACCGCGAGGGAAAGGUGAAAAGUACCCCGAGCAGGGGGGUGAAAUAGACCCUGAACCCGCGCGCCUACAAGCGGUCGGAGCUGCCUUGUGCAGUGACGGCGUGCCUUUUGCAUAAUGAGCCUACGAGUUAGUCGUCACCAGCGAGGUUAAGGGCUUCAGGCCCGUCAGCCGAAGUGAAAGCGAGCCUUAACAGGGCGUCAAGUUGGUGGCGCUAGACGCGAAACCUUGUGAUCUACCCACGAGCAGGUUGAAGUCGCGGUAACACGUGAUGGAGGACCGAACCGGUAAACGUUGAAAAGUUUUCGGAUGACUCGCGGGUAGGGGUGAAAGGCCAAUCAAACUGGGAAAUAGCUCGUACUCUCCGAAAUGCAUUUCGGUGCAGCCUGUGAUGUUCUGUUCCAGAGGUAGAGCUACUGGUUGGACGCGAGGGCUUCACCGCCUAUCAAAUCCGGAUAAACUCCGAAUGCUGGAACACGAAAUCAUGGAGUGAGCCCGCGGGUGCUAAGGUCCGCGGACGAGAGGGAAAGAACCCGGACCACCGGCUAAGGUCCCGGAUGGACAGUUAAGUUGAUCAAACGAGGUGGGAUCGCUGAGACAGCUAGGAUGUUGGCUUGGAAGCAGCCAUUCAUUUAAAGAGUGCGUAACAGCUCACUAGUCGAGCGAUCCCGCGUGGAUAAUACACGGGCAUUAAACUGUCAACCGAAGCCGUGGGGUCAGCGAAAAGCUGACCGGUAGGAGAGCAUUCCUGCCAGCGUUGAAGGUCACCCGCGAGAGUGACUGGAGCGGCAUGAAAAGCAAAUGUAGGCAUAAGUAACGAUAAUGGGGGCGAGAACCCCCCACGCCGCAAGACCAAGGCUUCCCCGGCAAUGUCAAUCAGCCGGGGGUCAGCCGGCCUCUAAGGCUAACCCGAAGGGGGAUGCCGACGAGAAACGGGUUAACAUUCCCGUGCUUCUCGUCACCGUGACGCGGUGACGGGGUGAUGAAUGGACCGCGCGCUGACGGAAUAGCGCGUUGAAGGCCGUACCCUUCGAGGGUGGUAGUCAAGCACGCCACCCGAGGCGACAGCCGAUAGUACCACGAGACUCCGGUCGAGUGGAUAGCGUCCAGGCAAUUUACCCCCGAGAAAACCCGCUAAACUUCAAGUGACGAGGAACCGUACUGUAAACGGACACACGUGGUCGGGUAGAACAUACCAAGGCGCUCGAGUGAUUCAUGGUCAAGGAACUAGGCAAAAUAGUCCUGUAACUUCGGGAAAAAGGACGCUCUAGUGAUAGAGCCGCAGAGUAAUGGCCCAGGCGACUGUUUACCAAAAACACAUGGCUAUGCCAAAUCGAAAGAUGACGUAUAUGGCCUGACACCUGCCCGGUGCCGGAAGGUUAAGAGGAGAGCUCAUCGGAAACGAGAAGGUUUGAAUUGAAGCCCCGGUAAACGGCGGCCGUAACUAUAACGGUCCUAAGGUAGCGAAAUUCCUUGUCGGGUAAGUUCCGACCUGCACGAAUGGUGUAACGAUCUGGGCACUGUCUCGACCAUGAGCUCGGUGAAAUUGUAGUUCCGGUGAAGAUGCCGGGUACCCGCGACGGGACGGAAAGACCCCGUGAACCUUUACUGCAGCUUCGCGUUGUUCCCGGGCACGGGACGUGUAGGAUAGGUCGGAGGCUACGAUUCGGUUUCGCCAGGAAUCGAGGAGCCAUCGUUGAAAUACGACCCUUCUCUUGUCUGGGAUCUAACCCUAGGUACAGGGGACACCGCGUGGUGGGUAGUUUGACUGGGGUGGUCGCCUCCAAAAGCGUAACGGAGGCUUCCAAAGGUACCCUCGGGUUGGUUGGUAAUCAACCUCAGAGUGCAAUGGCACAAGGGUGCUUGACCGGGAGACCAACGAGUCGAUCGGGUGCGAAAGCAGGGCAUAGUGAUCCGGUGAUCCCGCGUGGAAGGGUCAUCGCUCAAAGGAUAAAAGGUACUCCGG